RNAcentral lists this ribosomal RNA (640 nucleotides) under Lysitermus sp. BIOUG19974-F11. RNAcentral describes it as "partial 28S ribosomal RNA". It matches the Rfam family "Eukaryotic large subunit ribosomal RNA", at positions 379 to 773 of the family's 3401-position model. The record is from RNAcentral. Lineage: Eukaryota; Metazoa; Arthropoda; Insecta; Hymenoptera; Braconidae.
AAGAGAGAGUUCAAGAGUACGUGAAACCGUUCAGGGGUAAACCUGAGAAACCCAAAAGAUCGAAUGGGGAGAUUCAUCGUCAGCUCAUUUUGUAUAUGUAUGAUUUACGAUGCGGGUUACUACUUGUAGUAUCGCCUGCACGUUCUUGUACAUUUAUUUGCAUUAUGUUGUCGGCGUGCACUUCUCCCCUAGUAGGACGUCGCGACCCGUUGAGUGUCGGUCUACGGCCCAAUUGAGAGCCUUUGAUGUUUUACAACAUUAAAGAUCAUUGGUGUAUUCUGACCGGCUAUUCGGCGGUAUUCGUACGGUAUUAAGCCGCAAUUUUUUUUUGCGUUCAUACCCGUCGCAAGCGAGGCCAAUUUCUAGUAGUGCGGACCUAGUGCCGUCGCUAGUAUUGGCCAGCUGUUGGUUGUACGGUGUUCUAGAACUGGCUAAUUAUUACCGGUCGGCGAUGCUACUGCUUUGGGUACUUUCAGGACCCGUCUUGAAACACGGACCAAGGAGUCUAACAUGUGCGCAAGUCAUUGGGAUUUUUAAAAAUUUAAACCUAAAGGCGUAAUGAAAGUAAAGGUCGUCCUUGCGUCGAUCGAGGGAGGAUGAGUUAUGUCAAGAUAUAGCUCCGCACUCCCGGGGCGUCUCA